AAGGAAACUGGAAAAGCAGACUAAAAUUAGCUUGAUUUUCGCCAUCACAUAAACAAAGUUUAUGUGCCACGAUUUAACCUUCCUCGUGGGAAUACCACGCCACCCCAUAACUUAAGGAGGAAAGCGCCCGGCCUCAGGCGUUUAACAUACAUAAUUGCAUACAUAUAGAAAGGAUAAAAAAGUCAGACAAUGCUUUCUAGGCAAAUGCGUAUCCAUCAGAGAUUGUCGGAGCCCAGUGCAUUUCAUCAUUCAAGAUCAAAAGAAUAAAAAAAAAACAAAAAAUAAUUAAUAGAAUCAUACAAACGAAUCUCUAGAAAAAUACAUAUCAAUAUUUAAAUCGAAACCCUAUGUAUGUGUUUCAACAUCAAACAAAAAAUUCAGUGAAUAAAUAAUUAAACACAAAAAAUAUUUUAAAAGAAAUAAAAUAACCUAAAGUUAUUUGCUUUAUAAAAAUCCUCAGCGUUUGCUUAUAUUUAACAUCAAUCAAUGUUAGAAAACAUAGAUCAGGUCUCAAAGAUUUCAUGCCAUCAUAGGAUUUACAAGUCACAACAAAUAUUUUUUAGAUAUUAAAAAAAAUAAGAACAAAAAAAAAAUCUAUUUUUAUUGGAUAAUCAAAGAUUGAACGAUAAAUUAUCCUCAGAAUUUUAGCUUAUAAUUCUCAUCAUGUGCUUAAAAACACAAAUCAGGUCUCAAAGAUUUCAUGCCAUCAUAGGAUUAUAAAAAUUGCAAAAUAUAACUAAUGCAUUGAUGAUAAACAAUAGAGAAAACGAUUUAAUAGAGAAAAAAUAUUGGAAGAAUAAAUUCGCUGCAACUUACGACGAAAUAAUAAGGUGAAGCGACUCAAUAUCUCCAUUACAGAAAUUUAGCCCAUCAUCAACCAAUUAAAGUGAUAGACGAAAACCCUAAAUCAACGUCUUGAAGACAGGAAAAGGGAAAUCGACCUAAGAAAAGGGCAAACAUAAGAAAGGAUAAAAGAAACGACCAAAAUCAAACAAAACAAGAAGAAGAAAAAAAGGACCAGAUUAAGGGACAAAACGGAAAAAUAGGCAACCUCGUCGACAAGCCGACUUAAGAAUUAGACGAUCGCCCCGGUUUUUAUAGAGUGCUAUCUCAAACAUUAGGGUUUCAUAGAUAUAAUAC
This 1140-nucleotide long non-coding RNA is filed under the name Zostera marina. Its description in RNAcentral is "long non-coding RNA (ZMAR_LNC003850)". The record is from RNAcentral. Lineage: Eukaryota; Viridiplantae; Streptophyta; Magnoliopsida; Alismatales; Zosteraceae.